RNAcentral lists this ribosomal RNA (253 nucleotides) under uncultured bacterium. Its description in RNAcentral is "partial 16S ribosomal RNA". It matches the Rfam family "Bacterial small subunit ribosomal RNA", at positions 524 to 776 of the family's 1533-position model. The record is from RNAcentral.
UACGUAGGCAGCAAGCGUUGUUCGGAGUUACUGGGCGUAAAGGGUGUGUAGGCGGCCUGUUAAGUUCCGUGUGAAAUCUCCCGGCUCAACCGGGAGCGUGCGCGGAAAACUGGCGGGCUAGAGUACGGGAUGGGAGAGUAGAAUUCCUGGUGUAGCGGUGAAAUGCGUAGAUAUCAGGAGGAAUACCUGUGGUGUAGACGGCUCUCUGGACCGCCACUGACGCUGAAACACGAAAGCGUGGGUAGCAAACAGG